UAAGUACUCUCUUGUCCUAAAAUUCUUGUCUUAGAUUCCUCUAGAUACGAAUGUAUCUAAUACUAAAACGUGACUUGAGACAUCCGUAUUUAGAUAAAUUUAAGACAAGAAUUUUAAGACGGAGAAAGUAGUAU
Triticum urartu is the source of this 134-nucleotide non-coding RNA. Lineage: Eukaryota; Viridiplantae; Streptophyta; Magnoliopsida; Poales; Poaceae. The record is from Rfam.